Molecule: Y RNA, 112 nt
Filed under: Propithecus coquereli (Coquerel's sifaka)
Lineage: Eukaryota; Metazoa; Chordata; Mammalia; Primates; Indriidae
Description: Y RNA (ENSPCOG00000012376.1)
Rfam family: Y RNA
About the family: Y RNAs are components of the Ro ribonucleoprotein particle (Ro RNP), in association with Ro60 and La proteins. The Y RNAs and Ro60 and La proteins are well conserved, but the function of the Ro RNP is not known.
Source: Rfam by way of RNAcentral
AGCUGGUCCAAAGACAGUGAGUUAUCUCAAUUUAUUGUUCACAGUCAGUUACAGAUCGAACUCCUUUUUGACUCCUUCCUCCCUUCUCGCUACUGCACUUGACUAGUCUUAA